Molecule: ribosomal RNA, 457 nt
Filed under: uncultured bacterium
Lineage: Bacteria
Description: bacterial SSU rRNA
Rfam family: Bacterial small subunit ribosomal RNA
Source: RNAcentral
UACGGAAGGCAGCAGUGGGGAAUAUUGCACAAUGGGCGAAAGCCUGAUGCAGCUAUGCCGCGUGUAUGAAGAAGGCCUUAGGGUUGUAAAGUACUUUCAGCAGGGAGGAAAGAAAUAAAACUAAUAAUUUUAUUUUGUGACGUUACCUGAAGAAGAAGCACCGGCUAACUCCGUGCCAGCAGCCGCGGUAAUACGGAGGGUGCAAGCGUUAAUCAGAAUUACUGGGCGUAAAGAGCGCGUAGGUGGUUUUUUUAAAGUCAGAUGUGAAAUCCCUAGGCUUAACCUAGGAACUGCAUUUUGAAACUGAAAAACUAGAGUAUCGUAGAGGGAGGUAGAAUUCUAGGUGUAGCGGUGAAAUGCGUAGAUAUCUGGAGGAAUACCUGUGGCGAAAGCGGCCUCCUAAACGAAUACUGACACUGAGUGCGAAAGCGUGGGGAGCAAACAGGGAUUAGAUACC